Molecule: long non-coding RNA, 614 nt
Organism: Vespa mandarinia (Asian giant hornet)
Lineage: Eukaryota; Metazoa; Arthropoda; Insecta; Hymenoptera; Vespidae
Source: RefSeq, a predicted model, not a curated record
AUGCAAAUUCAUGUGCUAGAAUACACUAUUUGGAGGUUAAAGUAGUUAGAAAUUUAUUAAUUUAAUAUAUUCUUGAAAAUUUAAUACAAUUUUCCUAUUCAAUAUAUUAAAAUAUAUUAUAAUUUUUUUACAAUUUAAUUAUAUAUUGUAUCUUACUCUUGUGUGCCUAUAAUAAUUGUAUAAUUCGGUUUUAUAUUUAAUCAUCUGCAUAUAACCUUACGUACAAAAAACAAAAGAUUAUCUUGUCAGAUUCCUAAGCUUCAGCAUAGAAGACAGGUGGCAUUUUGAAACAUCAGUAUAUAACACUUUCUUAUAAGUUUUUUCUAUGAAAAAUGUAUAACUGUGUACAGAUUAUUUAAACUUUUAUUUUUGAUGGUUAUUUCCCAACAUCUUUUAUUUCAAAAAGAACUUAUCUACAUUUAUUGACUAUUAUUGUAAAAUUCUUACUUUAAAUACAUUUUUCUUUCAGCAAAAAUAAUUGUAAAACAUUAUAUUGGAUAUUUUGGAUGUAGUUUUAACAUUUUACACACGAAUAAACAUAAGGUAACUGUUCAAAUAAAUUUCCCAUCAAUAUUAGAUUAGAUUUUAUGUGAAAUAAAAAAUAAUUAGAAAGA